UCUCCUCUGCUUCAGCGCGAACCACAACCGCAGCCCAGCGAGAGCACACACCGUGUAUGCACACAUCUCUACACAUACGCACUCAUCAUCCAGCGACCGUGUAGCGAGACGGACGCAGAACGCCGUCUUGUUUCUUCUCACGUAGACACGAUCAUGCCCACCUUCAACCCGGUUGCCUCCCUCAAGGGCCAGAGUGUGGCCUCCGCUACACAGUUCUCGCGCGCUGACAUCGACGCCCUCAUCCAGCUCGCACUCGAUAUGAAGACACACAUCGAGGCAGGAAAAACAAUCGACACCCUGCGCGGUCGCGUCAUGACGCCGCUGUUCUUCGAGGACAGCUCUCGCACGCUGACGAGUUUUUGCGCGGCCAUGAUGCGGCUGGGGGGCAGCGUUGUGAACUUCAAGGUGGAGACGUCGUCUGUGAACAAGGGCGAAACGCUGCAGGACACCAUUCGCACGCUGGACUCGUACAGCGACGUGCUCGUGCUCCGCCACGCUAAGGAGGAGGCGUUGGAGCAGGCAAUGAGUGUGGCGACGCACCCGAUCAUGAACGCCGGCAACGGCGCCGGUGAGCACCCGACUCAGGCGUUGCUCGACAUCCUCACGAUUCACGCCGAGCUCGGCGCCGUGGACGGCAUUGCGAUCGCGUUGAUCGGGGACCUCAAGAAGGGCCGCACGGUGCAUUCGCUGCUGAAGCUGCUAACGCACAACUUCGCGCUGAGGAGGGUGUACCUCAUCGCCCCCGCGGGGCUGGAGAUGCCGGCGGAGGUGCUGGAGCAUGUCGCGUCGGACGUGCUGAAGCGCGGGAUCGCGAUUCAGCAGGCGUGUGGCCUCACCCCCGAGAUUGUGGCCGACUGCGACGUGCUCUACGCGACGCGCCUGCAGAAGGAGCGCUUUAUUGCCUCCGCUGCCGGUGACGCCGACGCCAUGACCGCCUUUGAGGCUUCUAAGGCUAGCCUGCUGAUCGACAAGGCUCGCCUGGCACACGCGAAGGCGAAGAUGAUUGUCAUGCACCCGCUACCCCGCGUGGAUGAGCUCAGCUCCGACAUCGACGACGACCCGCGUGCGGCGUAUUUCCGACAGAUGCGCUACGGCCUCUUCAUGCGCAUGGCUAUCCUCUUCAGCGUGCUUUCUUGAGCUGCCAGAGGGGAGGGCGGCGUACCCACCAUCUCUCUCGGGGGGGGGCAGCUGCUAUUCGAAGCGCUGGAGUUCAUGUAGAUAGACUGCUGCCCAACAUGGACCUCAUACACCGAUUAGCAGUGACCCCCCUCCUCCACACACUCGCACGCGCAAGCCGCAGGGAACCAUGGUGCCACCCACCAAAAGAGGAAAACAGAGAGAUGGGCUUCACAGGCUGGGCCAGAAGCCAAGUUGAUGGCGUCUUUCAGCACCGCGGUUUUGUCUAUGGGCUUCGUCCUCUUGACAUUGAAGCUGCCCCCUCCUCCUGAACGUGUGGUGAUGGUGACGGUGAUGCUGAUGCUUGUCCCCCCCCCCCCCCCCCCCACACACACACACACACAGACACCCCCACAAACAUGGCGGCAUAGGAGAGAGACAGAGAAAUUUCCCCUAUCGACGUGCGCAACACAGCGCUGCUGUGUGUCUCGCUGUUCCCGUGCGUGUUCGGUGAUGCGACAGACAUCGUUGCACACGAGAGGGGUCGCACCCCUCCACAGGACAUUGGCAGGCACGCACGCACACACACAGAUCUAUCCUCUCUCACUCAAAGUAAAUCGCAGCUCACACAGCGACCAUAACAUCAUAAGAAGGAACAAGUCAGAGAGCGAGCGAGCGCAACGGAGCGAUAUCAAUGCCCGCGCGCAUGCCGGCUUGCAACUCCAUCGAUCUCUCUCUCUCUUCUGGCACCGAUCACCGAUGCAGCCGGCUCGUGUUGUCGCCACGUUAUCGUUGUGAUGGUCGAGUUGGCAUUGCCGCAGCGCGAACACGCACACAUGUGGGCACGCGUAGUCGCGCACGAUCUGCUGAGCUGACGCGCGUCCGUCGCGCUCUCCUGGUGUUGUUGUUGCCACAGAAUGAAAGGGCUUGUGCAGCGGCUCGGCGAUAUCAGCCUAGAAAGCGUGAAGGCAGGUGUCGAGGACAACCCUGUGCUUUUCCGUCGUUCCUCCGCCAGCCCAGUCG
This 2139-nucleotide unclassified non-coding RNA is filed under the name Leishmania donovani. RNAcentral describes it as "gene:LdHU3.16.0650(CDS-product:aspartate_carbamoy ltransferase_putative)". The record is from RNAcentral. Lineage: Eukaryota; Euglenozoa; Kinetoplastea; Trypanosomatida; Trypanosomatidae.